CGCGAAGGCAAGCGGAUCUCUUAAAGCUGUUCUCAGUUCGGACUGCAGUCUGCAACCCGACUGCACGAAGCUGGAAUCGCUAGUAAUCGCGGAUCAGCACGCCGCGGUGAAUACGUUCCCGGGCCUUGUACACACCGCCCGUCACACCAUGGAAGUCUGCAAUGCCCGAAGCCGGUGGCCUAACCACUUAUGUGGAAGGAGCCGUCUAAGGCAGGGCAGAUGACUGGGGUGAAGUCGUAACAAGGUACC
This 249-nucleotide ribosomal RNA is filed under the name uncultured bacterium. Its description in RNAcentral is "partial 16S ribosomal RNA". It matches the Rfam family "Bacterial small subunit ribosomal RNA", at positions 1256 to 1500 of the family's 1533-position model. The record is from RNAcentral.